GCCACCUUCGGGUGGUGGAAAGUGGCAGACGGGUGAGUAACGCGUGGGAACGUGCCCUUCGGUUCGGGAUAACCCAGGGAAACUUGGGCUAAUACCGGAUACGCCCUUCGGGGGAAAAAUUUAUUGCCGAAGGAUCGGCCCGCGUCGGAUUAGCUUGUUGGUGGGGUAAAAGCCUACCAAGGCGACGAUCCGUAGCUGGUCUGAGAGGAUGAUCAGCCACACUGGGACUGAGACACGGCCCAGACUCCUACGGGAGGCAGCAGUGGGGAAUAUUGGACAAUGGGCGAAAGCCUGAUCCAGCCAUGCCGCGUGGGUGAAGAAGGCCUUAGGGUUGUAAAUCCCUUUCAGCGGGGAAGAUAAUGACGGUACCCGCAGAAGAAGCCCCGGCUAACUCCGUGCCAGCAGCCGCGGUAAUACGGAGGGGGCUAGCGUUGUUCGGAAUUACUGGGCGUAAAGCGCGCGUAGGCGGACCUGCAGGUCGGGGGUGAAAGCCCGAGGCUCAACCUCGGAACUGCCUUCGAUACUGCGGGUCUUGAGUCCGGGAGAGGUGAGCGGAAUUCCUAGUGUAGAGGUGAAAUUCGUAGAUAUUA
Molecule: ribosomal RNA, 590 nt
Filed under: uncultured bacterium
Lineage: Bacteria
Description: bacterial SSU rRNA
Rfam family: Bacterial small subunit ribosomal RNA
Source: RNAcentral